AGAGUUUGAUCCUGGCUCAGGACGAACGCUGGCGGCGUGCUUAACACAUGCAAGUCGAGCGGUAAGGCCCUUUCGGGGGUACACGAGCGGCGAACGGGUGAGUAACACGUGGGCGACCUGCCCCCUACUCUGGGAUAAGCCUGGGAAACUGGGUCUAAUACCGGAUAUGACCACAUGUCGCAUGGUGUGUGGUGGAAAGUUUUUUCGGUGGGGGAUGGGCCCGCGGCCUAUCAGCUUGUUGGUGGGGUGAUGGCCUACCAAGGCGACGACGGGUAGCCGGCCUGAGAGGGCGACCGGCCACACUGGGACUGAGAUACGGCCCAGACUCCUACGGGAGGCAGCAGUGGGGAAUAUUGCGCAAUGGGCGGAAGCCUGACGCAGCGACGCCGCGUGGGGGAUGACGGCCUUCGGGUUGUAAA
RNAcentral lists this ribosomal RNA (419 nucleotides) under uncultured bacterium. RNAcentral's name for it is "bacterial SSU rRNA". It matches the Rfam family "Bacterial small subunit ribosomal RNA", at positions 8 to 429 of the family's 1533-position model. The record is from RNAcentral.